GACGGGAUAGCUCAGUUGGUUAGAGUGUGGUGCUGAUAACCCCAAGGUCAAGGGUUCAAAUCCCUUUACCUUCU
This is a non-coding RNA of Galeopterus variegatus (Sunda flying lemur), 74 nucleotides long. Lineage: Eukaryota; Metazoa; Chordata; Mammalia; Dermoptera; Cynocephalidae. The record is from the annotation of a RefSeq genome assembly.